AAAAAGACUCUCGGCAACGGAUAUCUCGGCUCUCGCAUCGACGAAGAACAUAGCGAAAUGCGAUACUUGGUGUGAAUUGCAGAAUCCCGUCAACCAUCGAGUCUUUGAACGCAUGUUGCGCCCGAAGUCAUUAGGCCGAGGGGCAUC
This 147-nucleotide ribosomal RNA is filed under the name Capsicum chinense (habanero). RNAcentral's name for it is "5.8S ribosomal RNA". It matches the Rfam family "5.8S ribosomal RNA". From Rfam's summary of the family: 5.8S ribosomal RNA (5.8S rRNA) is a component of the large subunit of the eukaryotic ribosome. It is transcribed by RNA polymerase I as part of the 45S precursor that also contains 18S and 28S rRNA. Lineage: Eukaryota; Viridiplantae; Streptophyta; Magnoliopsida; Solanales; Solanaceae. The record is from RNAcentral.